UAGAUACCCUGGUAGUCCACGCCGUAAACGAUGUAAAACAACUAGCCGUUGGAAGCCUUGAGCUUUUAGUGGCGCAGCUAACGCAUUAAGUUGACCGCCUGGGGAGUACGGCCGCAAGGUUAAAACUCAAAUGAAUUGACGGGGGCCCGCACAAGCGGUGGAGCAUGUGGUUUAAUUCGAAGCAACGCGAAGAACCUUACCAGGCCUUGACAUCCAAUGAACUUUCCAGAGAUGGAUUGGUGCCUUCGGG
RNAcentral lists this ribosomal RNA (250 nucleotides) under uncultured bacterium. RNAcentral's name for it is "partial 16S ribosomal RNA". It matches the Rfam family "Bacterial small subunit ribosomal RNA", at positions 779 to 1024 of the family's 1533-position model. The record is from RNAcentral.